This 71-nucleotide transfer RNA is filed under the name Felis catus (domestic cat). It matches the Rfam family "tRNA". Rfam says of the family: Transfer RNA (tRNA) molecules are approximately 80 nucleotides in length. Their secondary structure includes four short double-helical elements and three loops (D, anti-codon, and T loops). Further hydrogen bonds mediate the characteristic L-shaped molecular structure. tRNAs have two regions of fundamental functional importance: the anti-codon, which is responsible for specific mRNA codon recognition, and the 3' end, to which the tRNAs corresponding amino acid is attached (by aminoacyl-tRNA synthetases). tRNAs cope with the degeneracy of the genetic code in two manners: having more than one tRNA (with a specific anti-codon) for a particular amino acid; and 'wobble' base-pairing, i.e. permitting non-standard base-pairing at the 3rd anti-codon position. The record is from Rfam by way of RNAcentral. RNAcentral also lists the same sequence under 3 other names. Lineage: Eukaryota; Metazoa; Chordata; Mammalia; Carnivora; Felidae.
GCCUGGCUGGCUCAGUCAGAAGAGCAUGUGACUCUUAAUCUCGGGGUUGUGGGUUUGAGCCCCACUGGGUG